AGCGAACGCUGGCGGCAGGCUUAACACAUGCAAGUCGAGCGGGCACUUCGGUGUCAGCGGCAGGCGGGUGAGUAACACGUGGGAACGUACCCUUCGGUUCGGAAUAACGCUGGGAAACUAGCGCUAAUACCGGAUACGCCCUUUUGGGGAAAGGUUUACUGCCGAAGGAUCGGCCCGCGUCUGAUUAGCUAGUUGGUGGGGUAAUGGCCUACCAAGGCGACGAUCAGUAGCUGGUCUGAGAGGAUGAUCAGCCACACUGGGACUGAGACACGGCCCAGACUCCUACGGGAGGCAGCAGUGGGGAAUAUUGGACAAUGGGCGCAAGCCUGAUCCAGCCAUGCCGCGCGAGUGAUGAAGGCCUUAGGGUUGUAAAGCUCUUUUGUCCGGGACGAUAAUGACGGUACCGGAAGAAUAAGCCCCGGCUAACUUCGUG
Molecule: ribosomal RNA, 433 nt
Filed under: uncultured bacterium
Lineage: Bacteria
Description: partial 16S ribosomal RNA
Rfam family: Bacterial small subunit ribosomal RNA
Source: RNAcentral